Molecule: non-coding RNA, 1019 nt
Organism: Anas platyrhynchos (mallard)
Lineage: Eukaryota; Metazoa; Chordata; Aves; Anseriformes; Anatidae
Source: RefSeq, a predicted model, not a curated record
CACACAGGCCACAUGGUGAAUCACACAGGGAAAUGCUGCGGGCUAAAAAUAACCCCUGGCUGUUUUUGUCCUGCCGAGAUAUUUUUAAGCUGCUGGCUUUGCCAACCCGGGACCCGACACCAGUGAAGCGAGCACUGUAAGGGCGAGGGCUGCUGAGCGCCGAGCGAGGAGCUCCGGCUCCAGCUGCCGUACCCCAGCCUGUGGGGUCAGCUGCCUGAACCCAGCACAGCCACCCGUGCACACCAGCUUGUCACAGCCAGCACGGGAUAAACCCACAGCACCAGCAGAGCCGGAUGCGCCAAAGAGCCAGAAGCCCUUUUUCUUCCCGAAAAGUUAAUUGGAUCAGAGCUCCUCGCUGGCAGCUGGCACCCAGGUGAACUCCAGCCCUGCAGAGGGGCUGCCUGGCAGGACCAGGGUGACCAGGGGACAGAGCCUGGAGACAGAGCCCAGGAGCUGCCUCCUGCAGGGAGGGAACUCGGCAACGUCUCAGGAACUUCAAGAAGGCCCCGUGGUGAUGCCAGCCUCACUGCUCCAUCAUGGCAGAGCCCAUCCCACGGCAUCACGCAGUGGUUUUGCUCCCAUUAGACAUUCCCCAGGAUGAAUUUCCCCCUCCAUGCUUCCAGCUUUGUCAUUUGUGAGAGCUGAUUACUGCCAGCAGUCCCUUUCAGCACGGUCCACCCAGCUACUCACAGGUACAGCUCCCUCCUCGCCUGCAAACUGAGACGGCUUCAGCAGCACUCGGGUUUUGUUAUUUUUUCCAGACUUCAGCAUGCGACACGCCGCUUGCCAUCUUCCUCAAUAAUUAAGCAGUCGGUGCCAUUGUCAAAGAAGCACUUCACUACACUUGUACCAGGUUUCCGACCAACUGCGGUCCCAAGCGAGGCGGCGUUAGGCACCGGGACUGCAGCUCGGCGAUUACGGGGCUGUAAAUAACGCCUUGGAAUAUACGGUUUGUUGUGGUGAUAACACACAUUUGGUGGGUUACAUAAAUUGGAGCAAUCCUGCUGACAGAGGAAAAA